AACGAACGCUGGCGGCGUGCCUAACACAUGCAAGUCGUGCGAGAAAGUUCCUUCGGGAGCGAGUAAAGCGGCGCACGGGUGAGUAACACGUAGGUAACCUGCCCCCCAGUCUGGAACAACUAGAGGAAACUCUAGCUAAUGCCGGAUGAGACCACGAUCCCUUCGGGGGUUGCGGCCAAAGAUGGCCUCUACUUGUAAGCUAUCGCUGAGGGAUGGGCCUGCGGGCCAUUAGCUUGUUGGUGAGGUAACGGCUCACCAAGGCUGUGAUGGCCAGCUGGUCUGAGAGGAUGACCAGCCACACUGGGACUGAGACACGGCCCAGACUCCUACGGGAGGCAGCAGUGGGGAAUAUUGCGCAAUGGGCGAAAGCCUGACGCAGCGACGCCGCGUGGGUGAUGAAGGCC
RNAcentral lists this ribosomal RNA (404 nucleotides) under uncultured bacterium. Its description in RNAcentral is "bacterial SSU rRNA". It matches the Rfam family "Bacterial small subunit ribosomal RNA", at positions 29 to 416 of the family's 1533-position model. The record is from RNAcentral.